Molecule: ribosomal RNA, 521 nt
Filed under: uncultured bacterium
Lineage: Bacteria
Description: bacterial SSU rRNA
Rfam family: Bacterial small subunit ribosomal RNA
Source: RNAcentral
GACGAACGCUGGCGGCGUGGAUUAGGCAUGCAAGUCGAACGGUAUCAUCCUUUCGGGGGUGAGAGAGUGGCGAACUGGUGAGUAACACGUAGGUUAUCUACCCUCAAGACGGGGACAACCCAGGGAAACUUGGGCUAAUACCGGAUGUGAGCAACUUUUAGUUGUUUGAAAGGUGGCGUAAGCUGUCGCUUGGGGAUGAGCCUGCGUCCUAUUAGUUAGUUGGUGAGGUAACGGCUCACCUAGGCAAUGAUAGGUAGGCGGCCUUAACGGGUGGUCGCCCACACUGGGAUUGAGAUACGGCCCAGACUCCUACGGGAGGCAGCAGUCGAGAAUAGUCUACAAUGGUCGGAAGACUGAUAGUGCGACGCCGCGUGAACGAUGAAUCCCUUCGGGUGUAAAGUUCUUUUAUUAUGUGAGCAGUGCUUCUUAUAUUUAACAGUAUGGGGAGAGAGAUAUUAGCAUAUGAAUAAAGACAAGGACCUAAACUCCGUGUCCCGAGCCAGCCGCGGUAAAGGCUUCCG